CUUGGAUGAUUCAAAAGUAUAAUUACAAGAAAAGUUUCGAUAUUAUCAUCAGGGCCGCCGAGAGGUUGGCGGGGGCCCGGGGCAAAAUUUUUUUGGGGGCCCCCUAUCUAAAAUUUUUUUCCGGAAAAAUUUUUUUUUAGGAUGACAACCCCCCCCCCCCGUCGCCAAAAAAUUUUCGGUCAGUGUACCAUUUUAGGGGUAAAAAUUUUUCCGGACGAGUACGUUACAAUUGCUUUCCAGGGACUUUACCUCAUUUUUCAUGCCAAAUUUUGGUACUUAACCGAAGAAAACAGAUAUCUUGUCCUUCGCGCGGAAAUAUUUAACACACAAAAAACACUGGGGCCCAACAAAAAUU
This is a non-coding RNA of Paramuricea clavata, 355 nucleotides long. NCBI's taxonomy places the organism in Eukaryota, Metazoa, Cnidaria, Anthozoa, Malacalcyonacea, Plexauridae. The record is from the annotation of a GenBank genome assembly.